RNAcentral lists this transfer RNA (77 nucleotides) under Patescibacteria group bacterium. RNAcentral describes it as "tRNA-Val". It matches the Rfam family "tRNA". Rfam says of the family: Transfer RNA (tRNA) molecules are approximately 80 nucleotides in length. RNAcentral also lists the same sequence under 1 other name. The record is from RNAcentral.
GCGCGUAUAGCUCAGCUGGUUAGAGUGUCACAUUGACAUUGUGAAGGUCCCUGGUUCGAGUCCAGGUACGCGCACCA